RNAcentral lists this ribosomal RNA (1068 nucleotides) under human gut metagenome. Its description in RNAcentral is "bacterial SSU rRNA". It matches the Rfam family "Bacterial small subunit ribosomal RNA", at positions 8 to 1067 of the family's 1533-position model. The record is from RNAcentral.
AGAGUUUGAUCCUGGCUCAGGAUGAACGCUGGCGGCAUGCCUAAUACAUGCAAGUCGAACGAGAGGAAGGAAAGCUUGCUUUCCUGAAUCUAGUGGCGAACGGGUGAGUAACACGUAGGUAACCUGCCCAUGUGCCCGGGAUAACUUCUGGAAACGGAUGCUAAAACCGGAUAGGUAGCAGACAAGCAUUUGACUGCUAUUAAAGUGGCCUUGGCCAUGAACAUGGAUGGACCUGCGGUGCAUUAGCUGGUUGGUGAGGUAACGGCCCACCAAGGCGACGAUGCAUAGCCGGCCUGAGAGGGCGGACGGCCACAUUGGGACUGAGACACGGCCCAAACUCCUACGGGAGGCAGCAGUAGGGAAUUUUCGUCAAUGGGGGGAACCCUGAACGAGCAAUGCCGCGUGAGUGAGGAAGGUCUUCGGAUCGUAAAGCUCUGUUGUAAGAGAAAAACGGCACUCAUAGGGAAUGAUGAGUGAGUGAUGGUAUCUUACCAGAAAGUCACGGCUAACUACGUGCCAGCAGCCGCGGUAAUACGUAGGUGGCGAGCGUUAUCCGGAAUGAUUGGGCGUAAAGGGUGCGUAGGUGGCAGAUCAAGUCUGGAGUAAAAGGUAUGGGCUCAACCCGUACUGGCUCUGGAAACUGAUCAGCUAGAGAACAGAAGAGGACGGCGGAACUCCAUGUGUAGCGGUAAAAUGCGUAGAUAUAUGGAAGAACACCGGUGGCGAAGGCGGCCGUCUGGUCUGGAUUCUGACACUGAAGCACGAAAGCGUGGGGAGCAAAUAGGAUUAGAUACCCUAGUAGUCCACGCCGUAAACGAUGAGAACUAGGUGUUGGGGGAAUAACUCAGUGCCGCAGUUAACGCAGUAAGUUCUCCGCCUGGGGAGUAUGCACGCAAGUGUGAAACUCAAAGGAAUUGACGGGGGCCCGCACAAGCGGUGGAGUAUGUGGUUUAAUUCGAAGCAACGCGAAGAACCUUACCAGGCCUUGACAUCCCUUGCAGAGGUAUAGAGAUAUAUCCGAGGCUAUCAAGGAGACAGGUGGUGCAUGGUUGUCGUCAGCUCGUGUCG